UGCAUCUGCUGUCUUCAGGUAAAUGAUCUGGAGUGUGUUUGCAUAUUGAUCAGAUGCUUCAGUGCUCUGAGAGUGUUUAUAGUGCUGUGAGUUUAACACUUCAUCACUGACACACACAACAAUCUUCAUCAACAUGACCUUCAUCAUCAUCUUCAUCUGGACUCUCACAGUGUUUGUUCAAGAGUGUAGAGGACAGAUCACCGUCACUCAGAGUCCCUCAAUGACAGCAGCUCAACCAGGAGAAACAGUCAAAAUCAACUGUAGAACCAGCAGAGAUGUGCGCAGAUAUAGUUUGGGGGAUGAAGCUUUAGCUUGGUAUUUCCAAAAAUCUGGAGAAUCUCCUAAACUCCUGAUUCAUUUUGUCAAAAAGCUCCAGUCAGGAACUCCAUCUAGAUUCAGUGGCAGUGGAUCUAACAGUGAUUUCACUCUGACCAUCAGUGGAGUCCAGACUGAAGAUGCUGGAUAUUAUUACUGUCAGAGUGAACACACUGGUGGUGUGUCCACACAGUGAUAAAGA
This is a non-coding RNA of Labeo rohita (rohu), 517 nucleotides long. The record is from the annotation of a RefSeq genome assembly. Lineage: Eukaryota; Metazoa; Chordata; Actinopteri; Cypriniformes; Cyprinidae.